This 683-nucleotide long non-coding RNA is filed under the name Elaeis guineensis (African oil palm). Its description in RNAcentral is "long non-coding RNA (EGUI_LNC006602)". Lineage: Eukaryota; Viridiplantae; Streptophyta; Magnoliopsida; Arecales; Arecaceae. The record is from RNAcentral.
GUGCCUUAUCCUCUAUCAUGGAGCAAAUUGUCCUUCGGACCUCUUUCAUUAAGAUUGAACUUGUCAAAACAUCAUUCUUUUGGGUCGAGACCCUGCAAGUCGGAGAAAGAAUAGUAUAAGGCUCACCUCCACUCAGCUGAUCAGUCCAUCGCUCUUUGGAAGCAGUGGAGAAUCUCCUAUUGAAUCUUCUCAUCCUCAAUCUAGGCGCCCGUCUCAUCGUGCAACACAUGGAUCUAGUUUCUUUGUCACCUGAUGACGGUCAAUUGGUGGAAGAACCUUGUAUUCCUAUCUCCUUCCCCAAUUCACUAGAUUCUAGACUUCUGCCUCCAAAGGGUCUCUUACUGGUGCAAUAGAGAGUGAUGCAAGAUCAACUUGCUUUGGAGCUAUGCCAAGUCUUCCUCAGCUAGUCCUCCCUCCUGAUCCUCUCUCCACUAGAGCUUGGAGAUGGCAGCCUUAGUAUCCUUCAACCUCCUGAAAAUAUCACCAACCUCCACUCGAUUCUACUUCUGGAGUCUAUGCCUAAUCAGCUCGAGUCUGUGGGUGACCUAAUACAUCGCAUUUCUCCGAACAAACAUCUUGCAAACCUCCCUCACAACAUCCCAAGAAUGCGGGUAAGAGAGACAAAAUUUCUCAAAUCAGAACGAACUCUGGUAAGAGAGCCCAUUGUCUAUACAAUAAGCAUC